RNAcentral lists this ribosomal RNA (1352 nucleotides) under uncultured bacterium. RNAcentral describes it as "bacterial SSU rRNA". It matches the Rfam family "Bacterial small subunit ribosomal RNA", at positions 28 to 1381 of the family's 1533-position model. The record is from RNAcentral.
AUUGAACGCUGGCGGCAUGCCUUACACAUGCAAGUCGAACGGUAACGGGUCCUUCGGGAUGCCGACGAGUGGCGAACGGGUGAGUAAUAUAUCGGAACGUGCCCAGUAGUGGGGGAUAACUGCUCGAAAGAGCAGCUAAUACCGCAUACGACCUGAGGGUGAAAGGGGGGGAUCGCAAGACCUCUCGCUAUUGAAGCGGCCGAUAUCAGAUUAGCUAGUUGGUGGGGUAAAGGCCUACCAAGGCAACGAUCUGUAGUUGGUCUGAGAGGACGACCAGCCACACUGGGACUGAGACACGGCCCAGACUCCUACGGGAGGCAGCAGUGGGGAAUUUUGGACAAUGGGCGCAAGCCUGAUCCAGCAGUGCCGCGUGCAGGAAGAAGGCCUUCGGGUUGUAAACUGCUUUUGUCAGGGAAGAAAUCUUCUGGGCUAAUACCCCGGGAGGAUGACGGUACCUGAAGAAUAAGCACCGGCUAACUACGUGCCAGCAGCCGCGGUAAUACGUAGGGUGCGAGCGUUAAUCGGAAUUACUGGGCGUAAAGCGUGCGCAGGCGGCUUUGCAAGACAGAUGUGAAAUCCCCGGGCUCCACCUGGGAGCUGCAUUUGUGACUGCAAGGCUAGAGUACGGCAGAGGGGGAUGGAAUUCCGCGUGUAGCAGUGAAAUGCGUAGAUAUGCGGAGGAACACCAAUGGCGAAGGCAAUCCCCUGGGCCUGUACCGACGCUCAUGCACGAAAGCGUGGGGAGCAAACAGGAUUAGAUACCCUGGUAGUCCACGCCCUAAACGAUGUCAACUGGUUGUUGGACGGCUUGCUGUUCAGUAACGAAGCUAACGCGUGAAGUUGACCGCCUGGGGAGUACGGCCGCAAGGUUGAAACUCAGAGGAAUUGACGGGGACCCGCACAAGCGGUGGAUGAUGUGGUUUAAUUCGAUGCAACGCGAAAAACCUUACCUACCCUUGACAUGUCAAGAAUUCAGCAGAGAUGUGGAAGUGCUCGAAAGAGAACUUGAACACAGGUGCUGCAUGGCCGUCGUCAGCUCGUGUCGUGAGAUGUUGGGUUAAGUCCCGCAACGAGCGCAACCCUUGUCAUUAGUUGCUACGCAAGAGCACUCUAAUGAGACUGCCGGUGACAAACCGGAGGAAGGUGGGGAUGACGUCAGGUCCUCAUGGCCCUUAUGGGUAGGGCUACACACGUCAUACAAUGGCUGGUACAGAGGGCUGCCAACCCGCGAGGGGGAGCCAAUCCCAGAAAACCGGUCGUAGUCCGGAUCGUAGUCUGCAACUCGACUGCGUGAAGUCGGAAUCGCUAGUAAUCGCGGAUCAGCUUGCCGCGGUGAAUACGUUCCCGGGUCU